GACCGCGUAGCUCAGUUGGAAGAGCAUUGGGCUAGUAUUCCAAAGGUCGUAGGUUCGAAUCCCACCG
Molecule: non-coding RNA, 67 nt
Organism: Paramuricea clavata
Lineage: Eukaryota; Metazoa; Cnidaria; Anthozoa; Malacalcyonacea; Plexauridae
Source: the annotation of a GenBank genome assembly